Molecule: ribosomal RNA, 200 nt
Filed under: Vibrio cholerae
Lineage: Bacteria; Pseudomonadati; Pseudomonadota; Gammaproteobacteria; Vibrionales; Vibrionaceae
Description: partial 16S ribosomal RNA
Rfam family: Bacterial small subunit ribosomal RNA
Source: RNAcentral
UUUAAUUGAAGAGUUUGAUCAUGGCUCAGAUUGAACGCUGGCGGCAGGCCUAACACAUGCAAGUCGAGCGGCAGCACAGAGGAACUUGUUCCUUGGGUGGCGAGCGGCGGACGGGUGAGUAAUGCCUGGGAAAUUGCCCGGUAGAGGGGGAUAACCAUUGGAAACGAUGGCUAAUACCGCAUAACCUCGCAAGAGCAAAG